GGAAGCUCCUGUUUGCACUUUUUGUGAAGCCACUGUUGUUUCUGAGCCCUCCAGUGCACCAAGAUCCAGCCAAGCAUGCUCCUCAGCUCCUCCAUGCGCUCUUUGACCUGCAACACAUGACUCAGGGUCCAGCUCUGCAGCGAGCGGCUUCCGGCCAUCUUUCCCAAUAUGCAAGGCAGCGUCAGAGAAAAUCGAGGUAGCUCCUGAAGAAGUCCUGGAGAUGCACAAACUCCUGCACCCGUGAUUUGUUCUCCGUCACACUCCUCCCCAGCUCCGUCCAGCCCUGCAGCAUCGCCCCGAUCUUCGCCCCGAGCACGUGCACCUUCUCUGGGCACAGCUCCUCCAGCCGAGAGGCCUGCUCCUGCACCUCCUUCACCUCCUCCCUGAUGACUUCAUAGGCGACCUGUGGAGAGUCACACUACAUAUCCAUCAUCUCCCAUCAUGCACUGUAUCGCUCAGGCAGCCUGUAGCAAUAGUAUCUCUGUAUGACCUCAUCAAUGCUUUUUGCAUAUCAUUCAGCUGGAGAGCCAUAUGGUCUACAUAUGGGCUGCCACGCCAAAGCAAGCUCCCACUGUUUUUUCUCCCUUUGACGAGCCGUAAUUAAUAGUGUUGACUGCUCUCUGGGAAGUAUACUCCAUAAUGUUUCUCAGCUACAGUAAGCCUGAACACAGAGCUGUGGAUGCCUGUCUGCUGACGACACGCUUAUUUCAGUUUGGGAGAUUAGCUCAUUUCUGCUCUUCAGUCGUAUCAAGUCCAGACAGCUGUGUGUGUGUGUGUGAUACACACCACACUGCCAAAAAAUGACUCACACACAACUUUACCAUCAACCAAGAUCACACCUUCAACCAAUGACCCCCAGGAGGCAAAACACACCGCACCUGAUAUUCUCACAAACACACACACACACCCAUGUCACACACUCUUACAUUGUGAACAAUAAUGACUCACACACGCAUAAAUAAACAUCCUGUGUGAAUAACAAA
Molecule: long non-coding RNA, 983 nt
Organism: Labrus mixtus (cuckoo wrasse)
Lineage: Eukaryota; Metazoa; Chordata; Actinopteri; Labriformes; Labridae
Exons: 3
Source: RefSeq, a predicted model, not a curated record